RNAcentral lists this unclassified non-coding RNA (319 nucleotides) under plant metagenome. RNAcentral describes it as "partial contains 5.8S ribosomal RNA, internal transcribed spacer 2, and large subunit ribosomal RNA". The stretch from base 1 to 104 matches the Rfam family "5.8S ribosomal RNA", at positions 51 to 154 of the family's 154-position model. The record is from RNAcentral.
AAAUGCGAUAAGUAAUGUGAAUUGCAGAAUUCAGUGAAUCAUCGAAUCUUUGAACGCACAUUGCGCCCGCCAGUAUUCUGGCGGGCAUGCCUGUUCGAGCGUCAUUACAACCCUCAGGCCCCCGGGCCUGGCGUUGGGGAUCGGCGGAAGCCCCCUGCGGGCACAACGCCGUCCCCCAAAUACAGUGGCGGUCCCGCCGCAGCUUCCAUUGCGUAGUAGCUAACACCUCGCAACUGGAGAGCGGCGCGGCCACGCCGUAAAACACCCAACUUCUGAAUGUUGACCUCGAAUCAGGUAGGAAUACCCGCUGAACUUAAGU